RNAcentral lists this ribosomal RNA (248 nucleotides) under uncultured bacterium. RNAcentral describes it as "partial 16S ribosomal RNA". It matches the Rfam family "Bacterial small subunit ribosomal RNA", at positions 523 to 769 of the family's 1533-position model. The record is from RNAcentral.
AUACGGAGGAUCCAAGCGUUAUCCGGAUUUAUUGGGUUUAAAGGGUGCGUUAGGCGGACUUAUAAGUCAGCGGUGAAAGUUUGCAGCUUAACUGUAAAAUUGCCGUUGAAACUGUUAGUCUUGAGUGUAAAUGAGGUAGGCGGAAUGUGUUGUGUAGCGGUGAAAUGCUUAGAUAUAACACAGAACACCAAUUGCGGAGGCAGCUUACUGGGAUACAACUGACGCUGAGGCACGAAAGCGUGGGGAUC